Leptonychotes weddellii (Weddell seal) is the source of this 463-nucleotide long non-coding RNA. RefSeq lists it as uncharacterized. Lineage: Eukaryota; Metazoa; Chordata; Mammalia; Carnivora; Phocidae. The record is from RefSeq and is a predicted model, not a curated record.
GUUAGAAGAUGCAAGUGUUUACAGAGCGCCAAGGAGGACAAAGAAGCAGUUUGAUUCUGGUAAUCAGGAGGUUUCUGACUUAAGCCUUGAACGGGAUUUUGGCCGAAAGGAACAAGAUAAGCGAAGGCCCAGAGGCUGUCCUGGGAGUGUUGGUACUCUGGUCUGGCUGCAGCUCAGCUGCCAUGUUUGAAGAUCCUAGGAGUUUCUCUAGACCGUCACUACCCAGUAUGGUAGCCACUGGCCACAGGUGAAAGGGAAACAAAGGUGACUACUGGAAAUAGCGGACUCUGGUGGAAAUAAGGGUCUCUCAGCUCUGUGCCCCCGGCCUCCCCAUCAGCAUCUCUUUACUUCCUUUCCUCUCUCAUUCAGCCUCCUUGAGUACAGUGUACAAUACAGCUCUGUUGAAAGACUGUGCCAUUUUAACUCAGUGUGAGUGAGUUACCUGUAAUAAAAGUGCACUGUA